UACGUAGGGUGCGAGCGUUAAUCGGAAUUACUGGGCGUAAAGGGUUUGUAGGUGGCCAACUAAGUCAGACGUGAAAUCCCUCAGCUUAACUGGGGAACUGCGUCUGAUACUGGUUGGCUUGAGUUUGGGAGAGGGAUGCGGAAUUCCAGGUGUAGCGGUGAAAUGCGUAGAUAUCGGGAGGAACACCUGUGGCGAAAAGCGGCUCACUGGACCACAACUGACGCUGAGGCGCGAAAGCUAGGGGAGCAAACAGG
This 254-nucleotide ribosomal RNA is filed under the name uncultured bacterium. RNAcentral describes it as "partial 16S ribosomal RNA". It matches the Rfam family "Bacterial small subunit ribosomal RNA", at positions 524 to 776 of the family's 1533-position model. The record is from RNAcentral.